Long non-coding RNA from Myotis daubentonii (Daubenton's bat), 630 nucleotides. RefSeq lists it as uncharacterized. Lineage: Eukaryota; Metazoa; Chordata; Mammalia; Chiroptera; Vespertilionidae. The record is from RefSeq and is a predicted model, not a curated record.
CUUCAGUCCAAGGUUUGACGCUCUAUUCACUGAGCAACACCGGUUAGGGCGGGACAGUCAGCAUUUUGAUGGAAGCCUCUCAAAGGUCAGGUGAGGUGUUGAACUCUGUCCCAACAGGCCCUGUGAUGGUGCCUGUUUCCCCAUCUGUGAAAAGGGGGGCAGUAAUGACUCGGGAUUGAGAGGGUUCCGCCGGAGGAGACAGAUGAGCCUGCGCUGUGGCCUCCUGGGGCCCCUCUGGCGUCUUCUGCCCCCCUCCACCCCGUGCCCCCUCUCUGGCCCCAGUUCCACACACUGACUGGCAGGUGCUGCAGAAAGGAGACGGAGCGGUGGAUCUGCAGCUGUGACUCCCUCGCUGGGCGCGUUGCUCUGGACGCAGGAACGGCUGCUUCUUACCAAGAUCAAUGGAAAAAUAUCCUCCGGUAAGGAUUAACAACAAACAGAAACAAAAAACAACGUCUCAGUGAGACUCCGUGGAGGAUGACACUAGACCUCAAAGGACUCUGACAGUGACAGCCAAUUCCUGCGCAAAAAUGAUCCUCUGCUGCCGCCCUGUGGACAUUCCAGGAAUAACAGCAUCCACUACCAGCUGUCAGAGGGAAAACCUAUGCUGUAUUGGAAGAAAUUUUUUUU